RNAcentral lists this ribosomal RNA (232 nucleotides) under uncultured bacterium. RNAcentral describes it as "partial 16S ribosomal RNA". It matches the Rfam family "Bacterial small subunit ribosomal RNA", at positions 100 to 334 of the family's 1533-position model. The record is from RNAcentral.
CGGGACGGGUGAGUAAUGUCUGGAAACUGCCUGAUGGAGGGGGAUAACUACUGGAAACGGUAGCUAAUACCGCAUAACGUCGCAAGACCAAAGAGGGGGACCUUCGGGCCUCUUGCCAUCGGAUGUGCCCAGAUGGGAUUAGCUAGUAGGUGGGGUAACGGCUCACCUAGGCGACGAUCCCUAGCUGGUCUGAGAGGAUGACCAGCCACACUGGAACUGAGACACGGUCCAG